ACUGACUUUGUUGAGAUUUUCUUGAGUCCCUACAUACUGUUAAAACAUCUCCUUGAUGAGAUCCCCUCCUAUAAGGAUUGGACAAUUUGGGUUUUGUGGUCUUUAUGGUGGGCAUCAAGAGUCUGUGGUCUCCUCUUAAACCAGCUGGUGGCGCUAGAGGGAAUUCUCUCAGUUAAAUAUCCACUAUUUUCAGCUGGAUAUCACAAAGAGAUCGAAGAAAGACUAGAAUAUGGAAAAUCAUACAUUUCAUUGGGAGCUGGAAGUUGGCUGGCUGGAGAAAAGGGUCAGAUGGUCCAUCUUCAUCUUCAUUAGUGUGUGUGCAGGUCUACCAGCUCUUGCUUGGUCUCUCAGCGAUUUAAUUCAUCACAGAAAGAAUGGACAGCAGAUUUCAUUCUUCAUCAUCCUCCUCCUCCUCACUGACUUUGUUGAGCUUCUCUUGAGUCCAUACAUCCUGGCAAAACAUCUCCUAGAGGAGUUCUCCUGGUACAUGGAUUGGACAUGUUGGUUUUUUUGGGCUUUAUGGUGGUCGUCAAGAGUCUGUGGUCUCCUCUUAAACCAGCUGGUGGCGCUAGAGGGAAUUCUCUCAGUGAAAUAUCCACUGUAUACUGCUUCUGUUUUCUCUUCUCCGCGUUUCAUAAUUUACUACAUACUUGUGUUUCUCUGGAUCAUUAUCGGACAUAUUUUUUUCUACAAGUAUUAUUUGUUUUUUAUUGUUUUUGUGUUGAUUGCAUCAGUGAUAACAUGGGUAAUAUCUUGUGGAGCUUCAUUUUCUGCUGAUCAUCACUCUUCCAGAAAACCAGAUCAUCAUAUUUUGGUUGUUUUCAUAUUCAGUCUGCUGGUAAUUUAUCUGCCCUUCAUUUUACUCAAUUUCAUUUUCAUAAUCAAUCCAGUAUUAUGUCAGUCUCUUCCUGUUUGGCUUAAUCCUAUCUUCUUGAUGAGUGUGAGAUUGAUUUCAGAUCCUCUCCUGUGUGUGCUGGUCUGCAGGCAGAAUCUCAGAAUUCAAACAUCACAAAACCCUGAAGAGACUAGUUCAGUCUGAGUAGGUCUGGUAAGAUGGGUUGGUUGUGAUGUCAUGAUAUUUGACUAUAAAGCUUAAUCUAUUUAACUGUUUCAACAUAAGGAUAUAUAACCAUAAGGUGUCUGCAUAACACACAUGAAUUAUGCUUGUGACACUAUAUUUUUCAGCGUAGUGAACUUCAUCUGCAGUACUGUAUGGUAAACAUUACAGGCUCUCUUUCAUUUCUCUGCAUAAUAACCAGUCUAACAGGCUGCAUUUAAUAAUACAUGCAGAUAUAAAAUGUACAUACAGUAUAAAACACUGUAUUGUUUUGCAUUUAAUCUUCAUCACUUUUUCAUGUUUCUGGUGUAGUCUUU
Molecule: long non-coding RNA, 1374 nt
Organism: Cyprinus carpio carpio
Lineage: Eukaryota; Metazoa; Chordata; Actinopteri; Cypriniformes; Cyprinidae
Source: Ensembl